This 432-nucleotide RNase P RNA is filed under the name Xanthobacteraceae bacterium. Its description in RNAcentral is "RNase P RNA component class A". It matches the Rfam family "Bacterial RNase P class A". Rfam says of the family: Ribonuclease P (RNase P) is a ubiquitous endoribonuclease, found in archaea, bacteria and eukarya as well as chloroplasts and mitochondria. Its best characterised activity is the generation of mature 5'-ends of tRNAs by cleaving the 5'-leader elements of precursor-tRNAs. Lineage: Bacteria; Pseudomonadati; Pseudomonadota; Alphaproteobacteria; Hyphomicrobiales; Xanthobacteraceae. The record is from RNAcentral.
UCAGUCGGCCGGACGGCCGCUCUCGCAAUGAUCGAAAGGUCGCGAGGGAGGAAAGUCCGGGCUCCAUCGACAUGCGGUGCCGGAUAACGUCCGGCGGGGGCGACCCCAGGGAAAGUGCCACAGAGAACGAACCGCCUUCCUCUCGAUGAAGGUAAGGGUGAAAAGGUGCGGCAAGAGCGCACCGCGUUUCUAGCAAUAGAAGCGGCAUGGCAAACCACACCGGGAGCAAGACCGAAUAGGGACGGUAUAGCGGCGAGUUCGCUCCAGAAUGGUAUUUUGGGACGAUAACUCCGCGGGGCGAUGUCAGGCUCACUGUCCGGGUAGGUUGCUUGAGGCGCCGGGUAAUCGGCGUCCCAGAGGAAUGGCCGUCACGUCUGCGUGGUGCAAACCAUUCGGGCCCUACAGAACCCGGCUUACAGGCUGGCUGACAUA